UUAUUAAAAUGCGAUUUUAUUAUAAAUGGGAAAAGGGGAAAAAGAACAAAGAAACCCUUGAAAGCACAAAAAAGCAGACUAAGGGCCGAGCCUCAUUAAAACCUUUUCAUGGAAAACCCCGUGGGAAAAACCAGAAAAGGAAAAAGAGUUCUCGUCAAAAGACAAAGACCACGACCAGAAGAGCGGAAAGGAAAGUUUCUGAAACUCCGGCCUAACCAUCGUCCCAAAACAAUCCCAGCUCAAAAAGUCACAACCGAAAUAAGAACACGCAAAGCAACAAAGAUGAUGGCCGGUGAGAGCCCGUCGCCGUCAUCCAAGAAAAAGAAAAAAUAGUUGACCUCAGUCGGUAAGACGCUGUAGUAAACCAACCGAGCAUCAACCACUCCAAUAGACCAAUCCAAAACAGCCCCAUGUAAUCAAUUCUUCAAACGAACGCGACUAUGAGUCGCCAUAUCUAAAGACACCGCAAUCUUUAUAUCCUCAAUAGCAAAGGGCCACCACCCUUCGAUCCGGGCAUGAUUAGCCAUAAUAUCCGCCACACUAUUUCCUUCUCUAAAAAUAUGCGAGAUCUGAAGUCGAAAAUUUGAAAGCCAAUUUAAAGU
RNAcentral lists this long non-coding RNA (602 nucleotides) under Salvia miltiorrhiza (redroot sage). RNAcentral describes it as "long non-coding RNA (SMIL_LNC004243)". Lineage: Eukaryota; Viridiplantae; Streptophyta; Magnoliopsida; Lamiales; Lamiaceae. The record is from RNAcentral.